GAUGAACGCUGGCGGCGUGCCUAAUACAUGCAAGUCGAGCGAACAGACGAGGAGCUUGCUCCUCUGACGUUAGCGGCGGACGGGUGAGUAACACGUGGAUAACCUACCUAUAAGACUGGGAUAACUUCGGGAAACCGGAGCUAAUACCGGAUAAUAUAUUGAACCGCAUGGUUCAAUAGUGAAAGACGGUUUUGCUGUCACUUAUAGAUGGAUCCGCGCCGCAUUAGCUAGUUGGUAAGGUAACGGCUUACCAAGGCAACGAUGCGUAGCCGACCUGAGAGGGUGAUCGGCCACACUGGAACUGAGACACGGUCCAGACUCCUACGGGAGGCAGCAGUAGGGAAUCUUCCGCAAUGGGCGAAAGCGUGACGGAGCAAAGCCGCGUGAGUGAUGAAGGUCUUCGGAUCGUAAAACUCUGUUAUUAGGGAAGAACAAAUGUGUAAGUAACUAUGCACGUCUUGACGGUACCUAAUCAGAAAGCCACGGCUAACUACGUG
RNAcentral lists this ribosomal RNA (497 nucleotides) under uncultured bacterium. RNAcentral's name for it is "partial 16S ribosomal RNA". It matches the Rfam family "Bacterial small subunit ribosomal RNA", at positions 28 to 507 of the family's 1533-position model. The record is from RNAcentral.